GAUGAACGCUGGCGGCGUGCCUAAUACAUGCAAGUCGAGCGAACGGACGAGAAGCUUGCUUCUCUGAUGUUAGCGGCGGACGGGUGAGUAACACGUGGAUAACCUACCUAUAAGACUGGGAUAACUUCGGGAAACCGUAGCUAAUACCGGAUAAUAUUUUGAACCGCAUGGUUCAAAAGUGAAAGACGGUCUUGCUGUCACUUAUAGAUGGAUCCGCGCUGCAUUAGCUAGUUGGUAAGGUAACGGCUUACCAAGGCAACGAUGCAUAGCCGACCUGAGAGGGUGGUCGGCCACACUGGAACUGAGACACGGUCCAGACUCCUACGGGAGGCAGCAGUAGGGAAUCUUCCGAAAUGGGCGAAAGCCUGACGGAGCAACGCCGCGUGAGUGAUGAAGGUCUUCGGAUCGUAAAACUCUGUUAUUAGGGAAGAACAUAUGUGUAAGUAACUGUGCACAUCUUGACGGUACCUAAUCAGAAAGCCACGGCUAACUACGUG
RNAcentral lists this ribosomal RNA (497 nucleotides) under uncultured bacterium. RNAcentral describes it as "partial 16S ribosomal RNA". It matches the Rfam family "Bacterial small subunit ribosomal RNA", at positions 28 to 507 of the family's 1533-position model. The record is from RNAcentral.